AAAUUGAAGAGUUUGAUCAUGGCUCAGAUUGAACGCUGGCGGCAGGCCUAACACAUGCAAGUCGAACGGUAACAGAAAGCAGCUUGCUGCUUUGCUGACGAGUGGCGGACGGGUGAGUAAUGUCUGGGAAACUGCCUGAUGGAGGGGGAUAACUACUGGAAACGGUAGCUAAUACCGCAUAACGUCGCAAGACCAAAGAGGGGGACCUUCGG
Molecule: ribosomal RNA, 212 nt
Filed under: Escherichia coli
Lineage: Bacteria; Pseudomonadati; Pseudomonadota; Gammaproteobacteria; Enterobacterales; Enterobacteriaceae
Description: partial 16S ribosomal RNA
Rfam family: Bacterial small subunit ribosomal RNA
Source: RNAcentral